UACGUAGGGGGCAAGCGUUGUCCGGAUUUACUGGGUGUAAAGGGCGCGUAGGCGGGCUUGUAAGUCAGAGGUGAAAUCCUGCAGCUUAACUGCAGAACUGCCUUUGAUACUGCAAGUCUUGAGUUCGAAAGAGAGAGAUGGAAUUCCAGGUGUAGUAGUGAAAUACGUAGAUAUCUGGAAGAACACCAGAGGCGAAGGCGAUCUCUUGGUUCGAUACUGACGCUGAGGCGCGAAAGCGUGGGGAGCAAACAGGAUUAGAGACCCUGGUAGUCCACGCUGUAAACGAUGAAUACUAGGUGUUGGACAAUAGUUCAGUGCCGCAGCAAACGCAUUAAGUAUUCCACCUGGGGAGUACGAUCGCAAGGUUGAA
This 370-nucleotide ribosomal RNA is filed under the name uncultured bacterium. Its description in RNAcentral is "bacterial SSU rRNA". It matches the Rfam family "Bacterial small subunit ribosomal RNA", at positions 524 to 898 of the family's 1533-position model. The record is from RNAcentral.